This 458-nucleotide ribosomal RNA is filed under the name uncultured Alphaproteobacteria bacterium. RNAcentral's name for it is "bacterial SSU rRNA". It matches the Rfam family "Bacterial small subunit ribosomal RNA", at positions 9 to 503 of the family's 1533-position model. The record is from RNAcentral. Lineage: Bacteria; Pseudomonadati; Pseudomonadota; Alphaproteobacteria.
GAGUUUGAUCCUAGCUCAGAACGAACGCUGGCGGCAUGCCUAACACAUGCAAGUCGAACGGGAUCCAGGCUUCGGCCUGGUGAGAGUGGCGGACGGGUGAGUAACGCGUGGGAACCUGCCCAAUGGUCUGGGAUAACCGCGGGAAACUGCGGCUAAUACCGGAUAAGCCCGAGAGGGGAAAGAUUUAUCGCCGAUGGAGGGGCCCGCGUCCGAUUAGGUAGUUGGUGAGGUAACGGCUCACCAAGCCGACGAUCGGUAGCUGGUCUGAGAGGAUGAUCAGCCACACUGGGACUGAGAUACGGCCCAGACUCCUACGGGAGGCAGCAGUGGGGAAUAUUGGACAAUGGGGGCAACCCUGAUCCAGCAAUGCCGCGUGAGUGAUGAAGGCCUUAGGGUUGUAAAGCUCUUUUGGCGGGGACGAUGAUGACGGUACCCGCAGAAUAAGCCCCGGCUAACUU